GUACUUAUUAUCCCUGAUCCCCAGGAUUUGUGGAAAGAACUAACAGCAUACUCGAAACUUAGUUGGCAAAGCUUUCAGAAGCAUUUAAUCUCUCAUGGCCAAAAGCUCUUCAAUCUUAGAUCUCCACCCUUUGGUAAGCAUUGACUGUCUCCUUUCGAGAUAAUAACUGAAUGGCCUAUGCAAUUAGAUGAGGAAAUAUACAAACCAACUUUGCUUGAGGGAGAUAUUACAUUGUUAUCACUGUCCCAUCAAGAUGCUUAAAUGAAAUGUUUGUAGCUGAUUCUUUCCACAGAGCUCCCAGACCUUAAGGAUCACGGACUAUAACCUGGAGAAUUUACUUAUUAAAAGAGUCAUCAAAUGAAAGACUUUUUGCAGCCUGUUGGAAAAGACCAUACCAGGGUGAGAAGAGGAUGGCAUCUGUGUAGACAGCUGUCCAAAGACUCCAGACCAGGGUGAGGCCGGGAAGAAGACGUCAAGUCUGGGAUGGCAGCUCCUGGAUCCCAAAACUGUAGAGUCACGAUGACUGCAGGUGGUGUCCAGAUUCUUCCUGAGCUAACAUCCAUUGCUGCCAAUCAUCCUCUUUUUGCUGAAGGAAGAUUGUCCCUGAGCUAACAUCUGUGGCAAUCUUCCUCUAUUUUGUAUGUGGGACGCCACCACUGAAUGGCUUGAUGAGCGGUUUGUAAGUCUGCACCCAGGAUCAAAA
Molecule: long non-coding RNA, 703 nt
Filed under: Equus caballus (horse)
Lineage: Eukaryota; Metazoa; Chordata; Mammalia; Perissodactyla; Equidae
Description: lncRNA (ENSECAG00000057943.1)
Source: RNAcentral